This 254-nucleotide ribosomal RNA is filed under the name uncultured bacterium. Its description in RNAcentral is "partial 16S ribosomal RNA". It matches the Rfam family "Bacterial small subunit ribosomal RNA", at positions 524 to 776 of the family's 1533-position model. The record is from RNAcentral.
UACGUAGGGGCCUAGCGUUGUCCGGAAUCAUUGGGCGUAAAGAGCUCGUAGGCGGUUCGGCAAGUCACGUGUGAAAUCUCCACGCUUAACGUGGAGGCGCCACGUGAAACUGCCGUGACUCGAGUCCGGUAGGGGAGUGUGGAAUUCCCGGUGUAGCGGUGAAAUGCGUAGAUAUUGGGAGGAACACCAGUGGCGAAGGCGGCUCACUGGACCGGUACUGACGCUGAAGCGCGAAAGCGUGGGGAGCAAACGGG